GAUGAACGCUGGCGGCGUGCUUAACACAUGCAAGUCGAACGAUGAAGCCCAGCUUGCUGGGUGGAUUAGUGGCGAACGGGUGAGUAACACGUGAGUAACCUGCCCUUAACUCUGGGAUAAGCCUGGGAAACUGGGUCUAAUACCGGAUAGGAGCGUCCACCGCAUGGUGGGUGUUGGAAAGAUUUAUCGGUUUUGGAUGGACUCGCGGCCUAUCAGCUUGUUGGUGAGAUAAUGGCUCACCAAGGCGACGACGGGUAGCCGGCCUGAGAGGGUGACCGGCCACACUGGGACUGAGACACGGCCCAGACUCCUACGGGAGGCAGCAGUGGGGAAUAUUGCACAAUGGGCGCAAGCCUGAUGCAGCGACGCCGCGUGAGGGAUGACGGCCUUCGGGUUGUAAACCUCUUUCAGUAGGGAAGAAGCGAAAGUGACGGUACCUGCAGAAGAAGCACCGGCUAACUACGUG
RNAcentral lists this ribosomal RNA (466 nucleotides) under uncultured bacterium. RNAcentral describes it as "partial 16S ribosomal RNA". It matches the Rfam family "Bacterial small subunit ribosomal RNA", at positions 28 to 507 of the family's 1533-position model. The record is from RNAcentral.